UCAAAAGUACUGCCCAACAGUAAGAGCCCUCUAGUCUUAACAUCAGGCUUCCUGCCCUUUGGGGAAGAUUAUUGUAGAAGGAAUUCCUGCAUUGGGAACUGUUAGCCACUGGGCACACAGUAGGAUUUUCAUAAAGAUCUCUCUAAAUGACUGAAUGGAAGCGAAGGGAUCAGCCAUGGCUCACUCACGGACCUAUACAAGAUCUCCUUACAGGUCUUGCCCCGAAGAAGGAUAACGACACCCAAAGCACGGACACUUUUCUUCUCCUAAGGACCCCUUGGGGAAUACAAGAGAGCGGAAGCCUUGGAGAGAGUGCUGCAGACUGUGUAAAGUGGGACACUCACAAGCAGUGUGAGGGGCCCGGGGCUGCUCUGCCACCAGCAUCUGUCACCACAGUGAUUCCCGGGUUGAGUGGGUGGCCAGGACAUCCUUGGUCAAAGGUCUGGACAAGGAGCUCCAUCCCAUUUAGAACCACUCAAACCCCCUUCCGCCUCAUUUGUAGAAGCAGCAUCGGGAAGUGCUACAGAUUGCCACCUGCUAGCUCAGCGAAGUCGCCCUCCCAUUAAACCCUUAAACAGCUUCCUUAGAAAACAGCAAGAAGGUCUCAUGUUGU
Hyaena hyaena (striped hyena) is the source of this 613-nucleotide long non-coding RNA. RefSeq lists it as uncharacterized. The transcript has 3 exons. The record is from RefSeq and is a predicted model, not a curated record. NCBI's taxonomy places the organism in Eukaryota, Metazoa, Chordata, Mammalia, Carnivora, Hyaenidae.